Molecule: long non-coding RNA, 312 nt
Filed under: Lathyrus oleraceus (garden pea)
Lineage: Eukaryota; Viridiplantae; Streptophyta; Magnoliopsida; Fabales; Fabaceae
Description: Pisum sativum (pea) long non-coding RNA (PSAT_LNC030463)
Source: RNAcentral
UAAGUUGUGAGUUGGAUAAAUUGCAGUCUGGCAUGAUAUUGGUGUUCCCAGUUGGUCAGUCCAACGACAUUGGUCACUGCAGCAAACACAAUUGUGUCCCUGCAAAGAUCAAACCAAAUCACGACAGUUAAUAUCCCAUUGAAGAACACAGGAGAAUCACUUGUGAAGAACACAACAGAAUCUAAGAAUAAGAGGUUGGUGCUUUAUGACACCUUAGUUCAGCAGUGCAAAAGUGAUGAGGAAAUUGUUUGUUGUCGCCCGUGAGCUUGGAUGCUAGAAACUUCACCAUAUUGUGAUCACACCGCAAAACCA